Ictidomys tridecemlineatus (thirteen-lined ground squirrel) is the source of this 569-nucleotide non-coding RNA. Lineage: Eukaryota; Metazoa; Chordata; Mammalia; Rodentia; Sciuridae. The record is from RefSeq and is a predicted model, not a curated record.
CCCAGGCAGCCAGGAUUACAGGCAUGUGCCACCAUGCCCAACUGUGUACAAAUAAUCUUGAAGAUUAAAAUAUAUUCAUAUUGAUAAUUUCUUCUUAUUCUAAAAUGAACCAGUUUUUUUGCUUAAUUAAACCUACAUUUCCUGGAAAGUUUUCUUAGAAAAUGCUGUAGUUAAGCUGUCCUUCAGUCAUCCUAGAUGAAUAAAAUUUUUGCAGAUAGACCUCAGACAUCCAUGCAGCUUGACGUUUUCAUAGAAGAAACUGAGGUUGAGAAAGGAUUAGAAGACAUGACUGGAUUGUCCUGAAUAAAGACUCCUCAGCCUACCUUGCAGCCUGAUUUGACAUUGUGACUAAUUCUGAGCAAUGGGAUACAAUUAGAAAAGAUAUGUUUGACUUCUAUUUGUCCUUAAUAGGAAAGUGCAAGUCCUUCCAUGCUGGCUGGCAUGCAGAAGAAGUGGCUCGAUUUUGAACAACAUCUUGUACCAUGAAGAGGUUCAGCAAAGCAAGAAGAUGUGUAGAGCCUGGAGAACAACAACUUAUGAAGCUGCCGUAUGAGCUUGGGUUGGUUAGG